This 372-nucleotide ribosomal RNA is filed under the name Triticum aestivum (bread wheat). RNAcentral's name for it is "partial small subunit ribosomal RNA". The record is from RNAcentral. Lineage: Eukaryota; Viridiplantae; Streptophyta; Magnoliopsida; Poales; Poaceae.
AUGGAUGAUACAUGGCUGAGUGGUAUUGAGGGAUUCAACGAUGGUCAUGGUCUCGUUCAGCUUAGUGGUGCUGCUAACGGCGAGCAAACAAGUGUUGAUGCCGGUGGGGGGACAGCUUCUGAUUUCAGUGAGAGGGAAGGAGAUAACGCGGAUGUGAUUGAGAAAGGGGACGCCCAGAUGAACAAGCACCCAGCCAUGGAUUCUGUCAUUGCAGACCAAGCACAGAGUGGAGAUGCAGCCUCAGCUCAUUCUACAGGAAAAAUGGAUCCACAAGCCCCAGGUUGGACAAGGGUCAGUGUUGGGAAGCACCCGCCAAACAAGGCACCAUGCCCAGAUAGAGUUGGCGCCCUGGAGCACACGAUUCGGGGGUAG